This is a long non-coding RNA of Cyprinus carpio (common carp), 1192 nucleotides long. The record is from Ensembl. Lineage: Eukaryota; Metazoa; Chordata; Actinopteri; Cypriniformes; Cyprinidae.
AGUGCGAAGAAAUUUAUUCAAAUUAUGCUUAUUUCUAAUUACAGUAGAGCUGAAAUACACAUAUGUUAUGCAUAUGAUGCUUUGUACAUUUUCAUAAAAAGACAAAAACUAUAAAUAUUUUGUUUUUAGUAUUUAUUUUCCUGUUAUACAAGUGGGUAUGUCAGGAUCAUUGUAGAGUUAAAAGUUUGCAAACAAAGUCGUUAAUAUGGCUUUAAUAUGGCUUAAGCUGUGUUUUUUUUUUUUUUUUUUUUUUUGUCACCCUUCUUCUGCCAGAUCAUUUUCCUUUGAAAUUCAUCAAGUUUGGACUGCUUCAUUUGGCCAGGCCAGGGUUUGUCUCUCUGAAGAAUAAAUCCCAAAACACACAUUCUGUUUUAUGGAACCCUACCAAAGUCAUUAAUCCUUGAACACAUGAGGUAAUAAGGCAAUCAAUUAUGUGGAAAAAGCACCGUUUUGCAGUUAUGGUGAAACAUUGGGAAAUUGUACUUGACAGUCAAGUUGAGGAUAAAUAUGUUGUUACAGGUACUUUGUGAUAAAACGUAUUUUCACUUGGUGGAUAAUAAAACACAGGCAGCACCACUCAGAUAUUCUUUAGAUUGUAAACAUCUAUACGUAGUUGCAGUCUAAAGUGUUGUUUCAAGUGCACUUGUCUGUUCACAGAAACCCAAGGAGGAUACAUAUUCAAGAAGUAGAUGGAGAGAUAUCCCCUAGAUCUAGAAUGUAGAGGAAAUCUCAAGAAGAUUCAUCCCAAGGAAAUCUCAGAUGCUGCCUUUCUUUCUCUGUACAGGGAUUUUUCUGGGGGAUUUUUUUUUUUUUCUGGAGCAACUCAGGCAUAUGUGCAAGUUUUCAACUGCAACACAACCUCACAAAGCUCCGUCGUUACCCACAAACCACCUAAUCUCCAUGUACUUUAUCUGUUUUUCUCAUUUAAUUUCUUCAACAUUUCAGCUAAUCAGUCCAGACACUUAUCCAAAGAUCUUCUCUGGAGCCUGAUAUUCUUAUACACACACACUCACACACCAAGAUUUUAGAUUCAGUGAGUUUAAGAUAAAUAUGAUGAAAGAAAUGAUAGCAUCUAAAAAGAGAGUUCAGUUUGAAACUAGGCUUAUCUUUGUGUUCAGAUCUUUGAAUGGUACAUUAAAAAUGCAGUUCAUACAGUCAAGUGACCUCUUUUAUUAUAACAUUUGCCAUUUCA